GAGUUUGAUCAUGGCUCAGGAUGAACGCUGGCGGCGUGCCUAAUACAUGCAAGUCGAACGAACAGAUAAGGAGCUUGCUCCUUUGACGUUAGCGGCGGACGGGUGAGUAACACGUGGGUAACCUACCUAUAAGACUGGAAUAACUCCGGGAAACCGGGGCUAAUGCCGGAUAACAUGUUGAACCGCAUGGUUCUACAGUGAAAGACGGUCUUGCUGUCACUUAUAGAUGGACCCGCGCCGUAUUAGCUAGUUGGUGGGUAACGGCCUACCAAGGCGACGAUACGUAGCCGACCUGAGAGGGUGAUCGGCCACACUGGAACUGAGACACGGUCCAGACUCCUACGGGAGGCAGCAGUAGGGAAUCUUCCGCAAUGGGCGAAAGCCUGACGGAGCAACGCCGCGUGAGUGAUGAAGGUCUUCGGAUCGUAAAGCUCUGUUGUUAGGGAAGAACAAAUGUGUAAGUAACUGUGCAUAUCUUGACGGUACCUAACCAGAAAGCCACGGCUAACUACGUGCCAGCCGCCGCGG
RNAcentral lists this ribosomal RNA (528 nucleotides) under uncultured microorganism. Its description in RNAcentral is "bacterial SSU rRNA". It matches the Rfam family "Bacterial small subunit ribosomal RNA", at positions 9 to 520 of the family's 1533-position model. The record is from RNAcentral.